GUGGCUGUGGGAGGGCACCCAUGAGAGAACCUUCUGGAACACACAACCCGCACCUCCUUCAAACAGUUUCUGCAUGGAUUCAUCUGGAAGGCACAUCACAAGGGACAUCUACUGAGCAUUUUGGCCAGGGGAAGCAGCUGCACUAUGAGGUCCGAGGCCGUCUUCAGCUCGACCGCAUCCUCCUCCAGCUUCCCAUCUACUGUCUGGUCCACCAGCUCCAGCAAACACUCCACCAAUCCAGCCUCCACCAGCUGCAGCUUGAUCGGGUCUGGGGAGGGAGGGAAGGAUAGUCAGAAGCACCCCCCCUCCCUACACACACACACCACUGGUACAACAUGACAGACACAUUACAUCACACACGGGUCAGACACAAGCAGAGAGGCGGCAGACUAGGGGGGGUGAGGGAAGAGAAGAUAGGUGGAGAAAUCAAAGAUGUGGAAGCAGGGGCACUGAGACGCUCCCCAUGGAGCUUCCUGCUCUGCUCAGAACAUCCUUAAGAAGAAGGUCGUCUAUGAGAACGUCAUCAACGCGGCAAUCGCAUGAUAACGCCUUACAGGUGAAAACUCGAUAUCUAGCAACGUGUUUUAUUUGGACACGGGGAGCCUUUUCCUAUGACAUCUGAAACCCCAUUGUGAUCUCCGUCUGCCUACAUCUGCCUGAAAAGUCAGCGGAGAGAGAGAGAGAACGGGGGAGCCGCUGGGGUCAUGCAGGGACUCACUGAACAACGAUCUAAAAUCCCUGAGGCAUCUUCAUUCACACCAAACUCUGCAUCUCCACAAAGCCUUAAAGAUGUUGCUGCGGAUGCCAUAUGACAGGUUCAUGGAUGACACUGCUUGCUGGCUGCUUGUUCUCUCUCUUUGCAGCCUCCGAUAAUUCCCUUGUGUCGCCCUGCCCCCCCCCAGGCCUCACCGUUCUCUGCCAGUGGGACGAGGACUUCCAAAAUCAUCUCCUUCUUCUCUGGCUCCACCUGCCUCUGGAGGAGCUUGACCAGCUCCCCAGCGAUGUCCGUGGAGGCAAACUGCUCCUUACUCGACUCUGAGGUUGGGCAAAAACAGAAGGAAGCUACAGAAUGAAAACUGGCUCCACUGAAAUAUGUCCUGAAAUGUUACUCACCUGUGCUACAACUCAUCAGCUGCCAUCCAGAUGCUGACCCUUCUUCUGCAGCCAGAGAGCCACAAUUCUGCCGGCGUUAAUGCACACAUCGUGCCAGGAACAAACAGAAUGCUGGCGAUCGUUAUGGGAACGGUAGUUCAAUUACGCCAAUUCAUUGUCGGAGCGUCAGGUUCGGAGUAUUUACUUCAAUUGUCUGUCUGACUUUGGGGCUGUGGAUUAGCGUUUAGUUACUCUGAAUCAUCGGCAGUACAGGUGCACUUCACUUUACGAUGGUUCAACUUACGAUACUUCGCUUUUACGACGCUGUGAUAGCGAUGCACGUUCGGUAGUCAUCAAACUUUGAAUUUUAACCCGUUCCUGGGCUAGCGAUAUGCCGUAUGAUACAUUCUGCUGAUGCUGGGAGGUGGCAAUAUCCACCCAUCCAUCCACGACUCCAAUCUCUGUAGCCACUGCGAGCAUAAAUAUCUUAUACAGUGUUUAACAACGUAUUAUACAGUGUUUAACAACGUAUCAUACAGUGUUUUGUUUCCUGUUUACCCUAUUAAACUUGAAUUAACUUAUAUACUUUCCAA
This is a long non-coding RNA of Brienomyrus brachyistius, 1685 nucleotides long. RefSeq lists it as uncharacterized. The transcript is spliced from 3 exons. The record is from RefSeq and is a predicted model, not a curated record. NCBI's taxonomy places the organism in Eukaryota, Metazoa, Chordata, Actinopteri, Osteoglossiformes, Mormyridae.